RNAcentral lists this ribosomal RNA (253 nucleotides) under uncultured bacterium. RNAcentral's name for it is "partial 16S ribosomal RNA". It matches the Rfam family "Bacterial small subunit ribosomal RNA", at positions 524 to 776 of the family's 1533-position model. The record is from RNAcentral.
UACGGAGGGUGCAAGCGUUAUCCGGAUUCACUGGGUUUAAAGGGAGCGUAGGUGGGUUGGUAAGUCAGUGGUGAAAUCCCCGAGCUUAACUUGGGAAUUGCCAUUGAUACUAUCAGUCUUGAAUACUGUGGAGGUUAGCGGAAUAUGUCAUGUAGCGGUGAAAUGCUUAGAUAUGACAUAGAACACCAAUCGCGAAGGCAGCUGGCUACACAAUUAUUGACACUGAGGCUCGAAAGCGUGGGGAUCAAACAGG